UACGUAGGUGGCAAGCGUUAUCCGGAAUUAUUGGGCGUAAAGAGCGCGCAGGUGGUUGAUUAAGUCUGAUGUGAAAGCCCACGGCUUAACCGUGGAUGGUCAUUGGAAACUGGUCGACUUGAGUGCAGAAGAGGGAAGUGGAAUUCCAUGUGUAGCGGUGAAAUGCGUAGAGAUAUGGAGGAACACCAGUGGCGAAGGCGGCUUCCUGGUCUGUAACUGACACUGAGGCGCGAAAGCGUGGGGAGCAAACAGGAUUAGA
This 259-nucleotide ribosomal RNA is filed under the name uncultured prokaryote. RNAcentral's name for it is "partial 16S ribosomal RNA". It matches the Rfam family "Bacterial small subunit ribosomal RNA", at positions 524 to 782 of the family's 1533-position model. The record is from RNAcentral.